UUAAUUGAAGCUAAUAAAAAAAAGCUUUUCACUGUUAAUGAAAAAGAAAGGAAUCUUAUAUCCCAAUUAAA
RNAcentral lists this transfer RNA (71 nucleotides) under Bambusicaliscelis fanjingensis. RNAcentral describes it as "tRNA-Asn". Lineage: Eukaryota; Metazoa; Arthropoda; Insecta; Hemiptera; Caliscelidae. The record is from RNAcentral.